RNAcentral lists this ribosomal RNA (244 nucleotides) under uncultured bacterium. Its description in RNAcentral is "partial 16S ribosomal RNA". It matches the Rfam family "Bacterial small subunit ribosomal RNA", at positions 111 to 353 of the family's 1533-position model. The record is from RNAcentral.
UAACGCGUGAGUAACCUGCCUUCAAGAGGGGGAUAACAUUCUGAAAGAAUGCUAAUACCGCAUGACAUAUCGGAACCACAUGGUUUUGAUAUCAAAGAUUUUAUCGCUUGAAGAUGGACUCGCGUCCGAUUAGUUAGUUGGUGAGGUAACGGCUCACCAAGACCGCGAUCGGUAGCCGGACUGAGAGGUUGAACGGCCACAUUGGGACUGAGACACGGCCCAGACUCCUACGGGAGGCAGCAUG